Molecule: ribosomal RNA, 1203 nt
Filed under: metagenome
Description: SSU rRNA
Rfam family: Eukaryotic small subunit ribosomal RNA
Source: RNAcentral
AGUCUGGUGCCAGCAGCCGCAGUAAUUCCAGCUCCAAUAGCGUAUAUUAAAGUUGUUGCAGUUAAAAAGCUCGUAGUUGAAAUUUUGAUUGUAGCGGUCAGUCUCACAACAGUGAGUGCUAGAUGUGCUGUGGUCAUGUUUCGUUGGAACGUGUGUGGCAUUGAGUUGUCGUGCAUGGGAAGACGAUCGUUUACUGUGAAAAAAUUAGAGUGUUCAAAGCAGGCUUAUGCCGUUGAAUAUAUUAGCAUGGAAUAAUAAGAUAGGACCAGGGUACUAUUUUGUUGGUUUGUGCACCUUGGUAAUGAUUAAUAGGGACAGUUGGGGAUAUUCGUAUUGCGGUGUCAGAGGUGAAAUUCUUGGAUUUCCGCAAGACUAGCUACUGCGAAAGCAUUUAUCAAGGAUGUUUUCAUUAAUCAAGAACGAAAGUUAGGGGAUCGAAGAUGAUUAGAUACCAUCGUAGUCUUAACCAUAAACUAUGCCGACAAGGGAUUGGCAGGGUGUGUUUAUGCCUCUGUCAGCACCUUAGGAGAAAUCAUAAGUUUUUGGGUUCCGGGGGGAGUAUGGUCGCAAGGCUCAAACUUAAAGACAUUGACGGAAGGGCACCACCAGGAGUGGAGCCUGCGGCUUAAUUUGACCCAACACGGGAAAACUUACCAGGUCCAGACAUAGUGAGGAUUGACAGAUUGAGAGCUCUUUCUUGAUUCUAUGGGUGGUGGUGCAUGGCCGUUCUUAGUUGGUGGAGUGAUUUGUCUGGUUAAUUCCGUUAACGAACGAGACCCCCGCCUGCUAAAUAGAUGGUCUAGUGAUUUUUCACUGGAAACAUCUUCUUAGAGGGACGUGCGUUCUAUUAGACGCAGGAAGAUGGGGGCAAUAGCAGGUCUGUGAUGCCCUUAGAUGUCCUGGGCCGCACGCGCGCUACACUGAUGCAUUCAACGAGUUGCCUUCACCGAGAGGUGUGGGAAAUCUUGGAAUGUGCAUCGUGAUAGGGAUAGAUUCUUGUAAUUUUUAAUCUUGAACGAGGAAUUCCUAGUAAACGCAGAUCAUCAAUCUGCAUUGAUUACGUCCCUGCCCUUUGUACACACCGCCCGUCGCACCUACCGAUUGAAUGGUCCGGUGAAGCCUCGGGAUUGUGAUGACUUUUCUUCAUUGAGAGGUCGUUGCGAGAACUUGUCUAAACCUUAUCAUUUAGAGGAAGGUGAAGUC